This 451-nucleotide ribosomal RNA is filed under the name Spintharus sp. DR 00786961. Its description in RNAcentral is "partial 16S ribosomal RNA". The record is from RNAcentral. Lineage: Eukaryota; Metazoa; Arthropoda; Arachnida; Araneae; Theridiidae. RNAcentral also lists the same sequence under 5 other names.
AAACAUUGUUUAUAUAAUUAUUAUAAAUAUAACCUGCUCAAUGAAAAAAUUUAAAUAGCUGCAAAUUUUGUACUAAGGUAGCAUAAUCAUUUGUUUUUUAAUUUUAAACUGGAAUGAAAGGUAAAACAAAUCAUUUCUUUAUUUUAUAUUUUAUUUUAACUUAUAUUAAAUAUAAAAAUAUAUUUUUUAAAAAAAAAGACGACAAGACCCUAUUGAACUUUACUUUAGUUUAGCUGGGGAAGCUAAAUAAUAAAUAUUUUAUUAUAAAUUUUAUAAAUGACCCAAAACAUUUGAUUAAUUAAUCAAGUUACCAUAGGGAUAACAGCGCAAUAAAUUUUUAAAGUUCUUAUAUAAAAAUUUGCUUACGACCUCGAUGUUGAAUUAGAAGUCUUUAUUAAGCAAAAAUAAUAAAAGUAGGUCUGUUCGACCUUUAAAAUUCUACAUGAUCUGA